Long non-coding RNA from Rhopalosiphum maidis (corn leaf aphid), 201 nucleotides. RefSeq lists it as uncharacterized. The transcript has 3 exons. Lineage: Eukaryota; Metazoa; Arthropoda; Insecta; Hemiptera; Aphididae. The record is from RefSeq and is a predicted model, not a curated record.
GUCGAGAAUAUUGCAGCUUUAAUGCAGUCUACGUAUAAUAGUUACUCAAAAAGGCAGUACGGCAGAUCACUCAAGUCACGCUGAUACAUGAAUUCACAUUUCUCACGCGUGGGAUAGUAUCAACAGCCUACGUUGCAAAUGGACUAGAAGAUGCUGAGAAUAAUACGUGUUAUAUGCAAUAUGGCAGUACGGCAGUUCACU